GACGAACGCUGGCGGCGUGCCUAAUACAUGCAAGUCGAGCGGACGGAUGGGAGCUUGCUCCCAGACCGUCAGCGGCGGACGGGUGAGUAACACGUGGGCAACCUGCCUGUAAGACUGGGAUAACUCCGGGAAACCGGGGCUAAUACCGGAUAACUCUUUCCCUCACAUGAGGGAAAGCUGAAAGAUGGCAUCUCGCUAUCACUUACAGGUGGGCCCGCGGCGCAUUAGCUAGUUGGUGAGGUAACGGCUCACCAAGGCGACGAUGCGUAGCCGACCUGAGAGGGUGAUCGGCCACACUGGGACUGAGACACGGCCCAGACUCCUACGGGAGGCAGCAGUAGGGAAUCUUCCGCAAUGGACGAAAGUCUGACGGAGCAACGCCGCGUGAGUGAUGAAGGUGUUCGGAUCGUAAAACUCUGUUGUCAGGGAAGAACAAGUACCGGAGUAACUGCCGGUACCUUGACGGUACCUGACCAGAAAGCCACGGCUAACUACGUG
Molecule: ribosomal RNA, 498 nt
Filed under: uncultured bacterium
Lineage: Bacteria
Description: partial 16S ribosomal RNA
Rfam family: Bacterial small subunit ribosomal RNA
Source: RNAcentral